This 400-nucleotide ribosomal RNA is filed under the name uncultured bacterium. RNAcentral describes it as "bacterial SSU rRNA". It matches the Rfam family "Bacterial small subunit ribosomal RNA", at positions 355 to 751 of the family's 1533-position model. The record is from RNAcentral.
UGGGGAAUUUUGGACAAUGGGCGCAAGCCUGAUCCAGCCAUGCCGCGUGAGUGAAGAAGGCCUUCGGGUUGUAAAGCUCUUUCGGCGGGGAAGAAAUUGCACUCUCUAAUACAGGGUGUAGAUGACGGUAUCCGCAUAAGAAGCACCGGCUAACUACGUGCCAGCAGCCGCGGUAAUACGUAGGGUGCGAGCGUUAAUCGGAAUUACUGGGCGUAAAGCGUGCGCAGGCGGUUGUGUAAGUCAGAUGUGAAAUCCCCGGGCUCAACCUGGGAACUGCAUUUGAGACUGCACGGCUAGAGUGUGACAGAGGGGGUAGAAUUCCACGUGUAGCAGUGAAAUGCGUAGAGAUGUGGAGGAUACCGAUGGCGAAGGCAGCCCCUGGGUUACACUGACGCUCAUG